UAGGGAAUCUUCGGCAAUGGACGAAAGUCUGACCGAGCAACGCCGCGUGAGUGAAGAAGGUUUUCGGAUCGUAAAACUCUGUUGUUAGAGAAGAACAAGGACGGUAGUAACUGAACGUCCCCUGACGGUAUCUAACCAGAACGCCACGGCUAACUACGUGCCAGCAGCCGCGGUAAUACGUAGGUGGCAAGCGUUGUCCGGAUUUAUUGGGCGUAAAGCGAGCGCAGGCGGUUUCUUAAGUCUGAUGUGAAAGCCCCCGACUCAACCGGGGAGGGUCGUUGGAAACUGGGAGACUAGAGUGCAGAAGAGGAGGGUGGAAUUCCAUGUGUAGCGGUGAAAUGCGUAGAUAUAGGGAGGAACACCAGUGGCGAAGGCGGCUCUCUGGUCUGUAUCUGACGCUGAGGCUCGAAAGCGUGGGGAGCAAACAGG
This 429-nucleotide ribosomal RNA is filed under the name Gemmatimonadota bacterium. RNAcentral describes it as "Gemmatimonadetes bacterium partial 16S ribosomal RNA". It matches the Rfam family "Bacterial small subunit ribosomal RNA", at positions 355 to 776 of the family's 1533-position model. Lineage: Bacteria; Pseudomonadati; Gemmatimonadota. The record is from RNAcentral.